AGAGGAAGCGAACAUCAUUAGGACCACGCGACUGAGCUCCAGCGGAGAUUAUAAAGGUCCAUUUGAAGAAAAAUAUACCAGCAGAGGGUAGCGACAGAUUGCAUUUUCAUCUAACAUGAUUGUGGUUUUGCUGUUCGUCAUCGCUGGACUCUUUUCUCCGUGCUCUUUCCUCACAUCAGACUGCUCUUUUUUAAAUAGAGCUACCACACCGGCAGUCACCCCAAGCACUGUGGAAACAUCUUCGCAGCCCAAUUCCAAACUUCUAGGCGUCGUGCCCGCAGUAGUCUGUUCUACAGGUGUGGUACUGCUGUUAGCGGGUUUCUUUUACAGAAAAGCAAAAAAUCAGCAACAACAAAGACGGACUCAAACCAGUCCUGGUUUGCAGAAUGACAGCUCAUUAGUCUAAUGCUUUGGAUGUAACAUCAUACUCCUGGUUCGAGGCCAGGGCAUGCCUCCACUAAGGGUCCUUCCUGCUACCCAAGCCUACUGUGAGGGACAACUGUAGCCAUGCCGGCUCGGACGUCGUCUUGAUUAAGGUCUGCAUGAGGUGUUGAAGAACCAGAAGAGUUUACAUAAGCAGACAGCAUCAUUCUGAUGCUCGCACUUUUGGCUAGUACUUAAAUAGGGCUUUUCCAAGUGAUGGCAACAUCAAGAAGAAGGAAUACUCAAUAGCAGAAUAAGCUGUUUAGUACUACCUGAAAGAAUUUGCCAAGUUUUUCAUGGGGGAAAUCCAAAAAUGUAUUUUCCUCACAAAUGUGACACAUUUAUGUGGAAAUACACAGGCUUUCCAACAUGGAAGUACAAAGAAGGAAUGUUACAACCAACUUUAUAUUAUCUGUAGAUGUAUUAUUAUGUGUGUAAAAAGAAAAUAAUCAUAUUUCUAACCAAAAUGGUUUUCCCUCUUUAAAAUUGUUUAUUUAUUCUUCUUCUCAUUAUGUUCUCUAUGAGACUGGCUGUUGUCAGGGCCCAUUUGUGCCCCUUUACAUACUUUUUUUUUAAUCCAGUGGUGCACUGAAUGAGAAGCAGGAAAGGAAGUGUACAUUUGAUUCAAAGAAAUGGGAUGUAGUCUAUAUUUACAGCUAUAUGCAGUAAACUUUGUUAUUAGAGACAAGGACAUUUAGUUAUUUCUGAACAUGUGUAAGGCUGUCAAACAGUAAUUGUUUUGGCCUUUUCUGAGAAGAAAACAGUUCUUUAUAGCACCUAAAAGUAUCACUACAGAAAUAUGCAUUGGUGGAUUUCUUUACAGAGAAGUGGGUGAAAAUUCCUCCAGAGCUGUGUGCACUCUUAUGCUUUUCAGCAAGGAUUCCUCCAUCAUGUAUCACAUCAGUGGUUCCCAAACUUUUUUUUUGCUAGUUUGGGCACAAACACAUCCUUCAACCACACACACCCAUUUUUGUUUUUCAAACUCCAUUGCAGUUUAUUUCACACCUCAAACCUUUUGUAAACAGUGAAACACAGAAAAGUAAACUGUAAUAAAUUACAGCUUGCAAUAAUAAACCACUAAACAAACCAUCUUUAUGGUGAAAUUAUUUUACGUAUAGUUGUUGUUGUUUUUUUACUGUGUAAGAAUAUUCAACCAUGCUAUCAAUACAUUUUUCAAAAAAUGUCUCUCUGUGCAAAAUGAGUUUAAAAACAUAAACAACUGUGGGAUACUGUUUGUCAGUGAUUUGAACCAGGAAAACAAAUUGUGG
Long non-coding RNA from Oreochromis aureus, 1691 nucleotides. NCBI's taxonomy places the organism in Eukaryota, Metazoa, Chordata, Actinopteri, Cichliformes, Cichlidae. The record is from Ensembl.